Molecule: ribosomal RNA, 1887 nt
Filed under: human gut metagenome
Description: bacterial LSU rRNA
Rfam family: Bacterial large subunit ribosomal RNA
Source: RNAcentral
UCAAGCUAUAAAGAGCGCAAGGGGAAUGCCUUGGCAUCAGGAGCCGACGAAGGACGUGACAAGCUGCGAUAAGCCACGGGGAGGAGCAAAUAUCCGAUAUAUCCGUGGAUUUCCGAAUGGGGGAACCCGCUCAAGCAAUACUUGAGCAUCGUGCGUUGAAUCAAAUAGGCGUACGAAGGGAACGGCCUGAACUGAAACAUCUAAGUAGGGCCAGGAAAAGACAUCAACCGAGAUUCCGCUAGUAGUGGCGAGCGAACGCGGAGGAGGCCAAACCGAGGGACGCAAGUUCUUCGGGGUUGCGGACAGACAUCAUGACCAGAGGAAGUUAGGAGAACGGCGUGGGAAAGCCGGCCAUAGAAGGUGAGAGCCCUGUAUCUGAAAAUGAAGACUGGCAGUCUGGAUCCAGAGUACCGCGGGACACGUGAAACCCCGUGGGAAACCGGGUGGACCACCAUCCAAGCCUAAAUACUACCUGAUGACCGAUAGAGGAGCAGUACCGUGAGGGAAAGGUGAAAAGGACCCCGGGAGGGGAGUGAAAGAGAACCUGAAACCUUGUGCUUACAAGCACUCAAAGCACGUUAAAGUGUGAUGAGGUACUUUUUGUAGAACGGUCCGGCGAGUUAUAGUAACGAGCAAGCUUAAGGUAUUCAGUACCGGAGGCGAAGCGAGAGCGAGUCUGAAUAGGGCGCAUAAAGUUCGUUGCCAUAGACCCGAAACCGGGUGACCUAACCAUGAGCAGGCUGAAGUGAGAGUAAAAUCUCAUGGAGGGCCGAACGCACGUUCGUUGCAAUGACCGGCGAUGACUUGUGGUUAGCGGAGAAAUUCCAAUCGAACUCGGAGAUAGCUGGUUCUCCCCGAAAUAGCUUUAGGGCUAGCCUCAUAUUAGAUACCCGGAGGUAAAGCACUGAAUGGCCUAGCGCCCGAGAGGGUAGCGAAGCCUAUCAAACUAAGAAUGCCGGAGUAUUGAUGUAUGGGAGUCAGACAGUGUGAGAUAAAUCUCAUUGUCAAAAGGGAAACAGCCCAGAUCUACAGCUAAGGUCCCAAAUUGUAUCUAAGUGGAAAACGAUGUGGAAAUACGCAGACAACCAGGAUGUUGGCUCAGAAGCAGCCACUCAUUUAAAGAGUGCGUAAUAGCUCACUGGUCGAGCGUCUCUGCGCGGAAAAUUUAACGGGGCUAAGAUACAAACCGAAGCUUAGGCUGCAUCGUAAGAUGCGGGGUAGGGGAGCGUUGUGUAAGCGGAGAAACAGUAGCGUAAGCGGCUGUGGAGUUUACAGAAGUGAGAAUGCCGGAAUGAGUAGCGCGAAUGUGGUGAGAAUCCACAUGGCCGGAAACCUCAGGUUUUUGGAGGAAGGUUCGUCCGCUCCAAGUUAGGCGGGAGCUAAGGUCAGGCCGAAAGGCGUAGCCGAUGCACAGACGGUAGAGAUUCCGUCCCCACCGAAAGAUUUAAGCACAGGGACACUUUUUGAAGGUCGGAGCCAGGUGUUGGUUCUGGUAGUGAUCGAGGGAAAUAUAGUACCGAAGUCCGGCUGGAAGAGAGGCGAGAAAAGCUGUGUGUAUAUCUAAGGUGCCCGUACCGCAAACCGACACAGGUAGGUAGGAAGAAGAUUCUAAGGCCAACGGGAGAAGGGUUGUUAAGGAACUCGGCAAAUUGACCCCGUAACUUCGGGAGAAGGGGUGCUCCAGAGAUGGAGCCGCAGAGAAUCGGCCCAAGCAACUGUUUACCAAAAACACAGGUUUGUGCUAAAUCGAAAGAUGACGUAUACGAGCUGACGCCUGCCCGGUGCUGGAAGGUUAAGAGGAGAUGUGCAAGCAUUGAAUCGAAGCCCCAGUGAACGGCGGCCGUAACUAUAACGGUCCUAAGGUAGCGAAAUUCCUUGUCAGGUAAG